CUGUAAGUGGUGCAAUGGUUUGAACAUUGGACUAAGACUCUGGGAGACCAGGGUUCAAAUCCUGGCUCAGACA
Molecule: non-coding RNA, 73 nt
Organism: Phrynosoma platyrhinos (Desert horned lizard)
Lineage: Eukaryota; Metazoa; Chordata; Lepidosauria; Squamata; Phrynosomatidae
Source: the annotation of a GenBank genome assembly